UCAACGGCUCUUUUAAGAGCCACCACUUCCUCUUAGAGCAAAGCUC
Molecule: non-coding RNA, 46 nt
Organism: Tetraodon nigroviridis (spotted green pufferfish)
Lineage: Eukaryota; Metazoa; Chordata; Actinopteri; Tetraodontiformes; Tetraodontidae
Source: Rfam